This 606-nucleotide long non-coding RNA is filed under the name Phoenix dactylifera (date palm). Its description in RNAcentral is "long non-coding RNA (PDAC_LNC000713)". Lineage: Eukaryota; Viridiplantae; Streptophyta; Magnoliopsida; Arecales; Arecaceae. The record is from RNAcentral.
GGCGAGCCCGACCCCGCUCUUAAGGUCCAGACCGCGAUCCAAUGCGUGAGGGUCGCUUCCAUGCUCGCGGAGCUCCGUUCGUUUCCCCGCCGGAUCACCGCGCCGGCGGCGCAGGCGGUGGCGGACCGUCCGGUGAUUCUCCCUUUUUUCCUCCUUUUUGUACGGUUUGUUUGCGUUCUUUUGGAACCCUAAGCAUCCGAUGGCAACGAUUCUUCGUUUUCACUUAAGAUUUCAACCAGGAGAGUGAGGAUUCGCGGAGCUACGCUGCGGAUCUUAGGGCGACGCUGGUUGCGGAGCGUGCGAGGAGGAGGAGAUUGGAGCGCCUCGUUGGACAGGAGGUAAUGCUUCAUGUUGUUCUUUUGGCGAUGAUGUUGUGCUUCUCCUUGUUUCUUCUUUUGAUCUGAUGGAGCUGAUUUAGAGAUUUCAGUUAGGGUUAAAUUUUGGGUUGUGAUUAGGUUCUUGAACUUGAUCGGAACUGCAUAGUGUGAGAAAAAUGGGAAAUUGAUGACAAAGGUACAAGGCGAUGCUGAUUUGAUUGGAAGGUUUGCAAAGAAUUGUGUGAGAUGAUUGGGAUGUAUGUUCAAAUCUUGUUUUUUAAUAAAAGAU